This 260-nucleotide unclassified non-coding RNA is filed under the name Hevea brasiliensis (rubber tree). The record is from RNAcentral. Lineage: Eukaryota; Viridiplantae; Streptophyta; Magnoliopsida; Malpighiales; Euphorbiaceae.
CUAGGGUUAGGGUUUUGAUUUAAUUAAUUUCUGUGCAAUAGCAUCUAAACUUUGCAUAUUUGGAGAUUCUUAGUUUAUAAUAUAUACUAAGCUGCCUGCGUUUGUUAACCAUCACAAGAUUACAGAUUUUUUGCCAUCUGAUCUGAUCUCUUCUGGGCUUUAGCGCCCUGUGGCCUUUAAAAUCGAUGAUCAUCAGCGUCCCAUGGACCCCUCUCAAUCGCACAACACUUCCACAGUCAACGACGAAGAAGAUGAAUGGG